RNAcentral lists this ribosomal RNA (1376 nucleotides) under uncultured bacterium. Its description in RNAcentral is "bacterial SSU rRNA". It matches the Rfam family "Bacterial small subunit ribosomal RNA". The record is from RNAcentral.
AGAGUUUGAUCCUGGCUCAGGGAUGAACGCUGGCGGCGCGCCUAACACAUGCAAGUCGAACGAGAAGCACCUCUUCGGAGGUGUGGAUAGUGGCGAACGGCUGAGUAACACGUGGGCAACCUGCCCCUCUCAUCGGGAUAGCCUCGGGAAACCGGGGAUAAUACCGGAUACUCCGACGCUUUCGCAUGGAAGCGUUGGGAAAGCUCUGGCGGAGAGGGAUGGGCCCGCGGCCUGUUAGCUAGUUGGCGGGGUAACGGCCCACCAAGGCUUCUAUGGGUAGCCGGGUUGAGAGACCGACCGGCCAGAUUGGGACUGAGACACGGCCCAGACUCCUACGGGAGGCAGCAGUGGGGAAUCUUGCGCAAUGGGCGAAAGCCUGACGCAGCGACGCCGCGUGCGGGAUGACGGCCUUCGGGUUGUAAACCGCUUUCAGCAGGGACGAGGCCGCAAGGUGACGGUACCUGCAGAAGAAGCCCCGGCUAACUACGUGCCAGCAGCCGCGGUAAUACGUAGGGGGCGAGCGUUAUCCGGAUUCAUUGGGCGUAAAGCGCGCGUAGGCGGCCAGUUAGGUCGGGAGUCAAAUUUCGGGGCUCAACCCCGUCUCGCUCCCGAUACCGGCUGGCUUGAGUGUGGUAGGGGAAGGCGGAAUUCCCGGUGUAGCGGUGGAAUGCGCAGAUAUCGGGAAGAACACCGGUGGCGAAGGCGGCCUUCUGGGCCAUCACUGACGCUGAGGCGCGAAAGCUAGGGGAGCAAACAGGAUUAGAUACCCUAGUAGUCCACGCCGUAAACGAUAAGGUACUAAGUGUGGGAAAGUCAAAUUUCAGUGCUGCAGUUAACGCAGUAAGUACUCCGCCUGAGUAGUACGUUCGCAAGAAUGAAACUCAAAGGAAUUGACGGGGGCCCGCACAAGCGGUGGAGCACGUGGUUUAAUUCGAAGCAACGCGAAGAACCUUACCAGGUCUUGACAUACUCAUAAAGGAUCCAGAGAUGGAUAGAUAGUUAUAUGAGAUACAGGUGGUGCAUGGUUGUCGUCAGCUCGUGUCGUGAGAUGUUGGGUUAAGUCCCGCAACGAGCGCAACCCUUGUCGUUAGUUACCAUCAUUAAGUUGGGGACUCUAGCGAGACUGCCAGUGACAAGCUGGAGGAAGGCGGGGAUGACGUCAAAUCAUCAUGCCCCUUAUGACCUGGGCUACACACGUGCUACAAUGGAUGGUGCAGAGGGAAGCGAAGCCGCGAGGCGAAGCAAAACCCAUAAAACCAUUCUCAGUUCGGAUUGUAGUCUGCAACUCGACUACAUGAAGUUGGAAUCGCUAGUAAUCGCGAAUCAGCAUGUCGCGGUGAAUACGUUCUCGGGCCUUGUACACACCGCCCGUCAAG